Aspergillus niger is the source of this 135-nucleotide non-coding RNA. NCBI's taxonomy places the organism in Eukaryota, Fungi, Ascomycota, Eurotiomycetes, Eurotiales, Aspergillaceae. The record is from Rfam.
GCCCCUGUGGCGCAAUCGGUAGCGCGUAAGACUUGCAAGUACUCCCGAGGACCCCUUUACAGCAAACACGUUACUAACUAUCUCUGCAGCUAGAUUGAGAUCUUAAGGCUGUGGGUUCGAUCCCCACCAGGGGCU